GGGUUGUGAGGUUAAGCGACUAAGCGUACACGGUGGAUGCCCUGGCAGUCAGAGGCGAUGAAGGACGUGCUAAUCUGCGAUAAGCGUCGGUAAGGUGAUAUGAACCGUUAUAACCGGCGAUUUCCGAAUGGGGAAACCCAGUGUGUUUCGACACACUAUCAUUAACUGAAUCCAUAGGUUAAUGAGGCGAACCGGGGGAACUGAAACAUCUAAGUACCCCGAGGAAAAGAAAUCAACCGAGAUUCCCCCAGUAGCGGCGAGCGAACGGGGAGGAGCCCAGAGCCUGAAUCAGUGUGUGUGUUAGUGGAAGCGUCUGGAAAGGCGCGCGAUACAGGGUGACAGCCCCGUACACAAAAAUGCACAUGCUGUGAGCUCGAUGAGUAGGGCGGGACACGUGGUAUCCUGUCUGAAUAUGGGGGGACCAUCCUCCAAGGCUAAAUACUCCUGACUGACCGAUAGUGAACCAGUACCGUGAGGGAAAGGCGAAAAGAACCCCGGCGAGGGGAGUGAAAAAGAACCUGAAACCGUGUACGUACAAGCAGUGGGAGCAUGCUUAGGCGUGUGACUGCGUACCUUUUGUAUAAUGGGUCAGCGACUUAUAUUCUGUAGCAAGGUUAACCGAAUAGGGGAGCCGAAGGGAAACCGAGUCUUAACUGGGCGUUAAGUUGCAGGGUAUAGACCCGAAACCCGGUGAUCUAGCCAUGGGCAGGUUGAAGGUUGGGUAACACUAACUGGAGGACCGAACCGACUAAUGUUGAAAAAUUAGCGGAUGACUUGUGGCUGGGGGUGAAAGGCCAAUCAAACCGGGAGAUAGCUGGUUCUCCCCGAAAGCUAUUUAGGUAGCGCCUCGUGAACUCAUCUCCGGGGGUAGAGCACUGUUUCGGCAAGGGGGUCAUCCCGACUUACCAACCCGAUGCAAACUGCGAAUACCGGAGAAUGUUAUCACGGGAGACACACGGCGGGUGCUAACGUCCGUCGUGAAGAGGGAAACAACCCAGACCGCCAGCUAAGGUCCCAAAGUCAUGGUUAAGUGGGAAACGAUGUGGGAAGGCCCAGACAGCCAGGAUGUUGGCUUAGAAGCAGCCAUCAUUUAAAGAAAGCGUAAUAGCUCACUGGUCGAGUCGGCCUGCGCGGAAGAUGUAACGGGGCUAAACCAUGCACCGAAGCUGCGGCAGCGACGCUUAUGCGUUGUUGGGUAGGGGAGCGUUCUGUAAGCCUGUGAAGGUGUACUGUGAGGUAUGCUGGAGGUAUCAGAAGUGCGAAUGCUGACAUAAGUAACGAUAAAGCGGGUGAAAAGCCCGCUCGCCGGAAGACCAAGGGUUCCUGUCCAACGUUAAUCGGGGCAGGGUGAGUCGACCCCUAAGGCGAGGCCGAAAGGCGUAGUCGAUGGGAAACAGGUUAAUAUUCCUGUACUUGGUGUUACUGCGAAGGGGGGACGGAGAAGGCUAUGUUGGCCGGGCGACGGUUGUCCCGGUUUAAGCGUGUAGGCUGGUUUUCCAGGCAAAUCCGGAAAAUCAAGGCUGAGGCGUAAUGACGAGGCACUACGGUGCUGAAGCAACAAAUGCCCUGCUUCCAGGAAAAGCCUCUAAGCAUCAGGUAACAUCAAAUCGUACCCCAAACCGACACAGGUGGUCAGGUAGAGAAUACCAAGGCGCUUGAGAGAACUCGGGUGAAGGAACUAGGCAAAAUGGUGCCGUAACUUCGGGAGAAGGCACGCUGAUAUGUAGGUGAAGUCCCUUGCGGAUGGAGCUGAAAUCAGUCGAAGAUACCAGCUGGCUGCAACUGUUUAUUAAAAACACAGCACUGUGCAAACACGAAAGUGGACGUAUACGGUGUGACGCCUGCCCGGUGCCGGAAGGUUAAUUGAUGGGGUUAGCGCAAGCGAAGCUCUUGAUCGAAGCCCCGGUAAACGGCGGCCGUAACUAUAACGGUCCUAAGGUAGCGAAAUUCCUUGUCGGGUAAGUUCCGACCUGCACGAAUGGCGUAAUGAUGGCCAGGCUGUCUCCACCCGAGACUCGGUGAAAUUGAACUCGCUGUGAAGAUGCAGUGUACCCGCGGCAAGACGGAAAGACCCCGUGAACCUUUACUAUAGCUUGACACUGAACAUUGAGCCUUGAUGUGUAGGAUAGGUGGGAGGCUU
Molecule: ribosomal RNA, 2140 nt
Filed under: Escherichia coli
Lineage: Bacteria; Pseudomonadati; Pseudomonadota; Gammaproteobacteria; Enterobacterales; Enterobacteriaceae
Also listed under: 1 other name
Description: partial 23S ribosomal RNA
Rfam family: Bacterial large subunit ribosomal RNA
Source: RNAcentral